ACGAACGCUGGCGGCGUGCCUAAUACAUGCAAGUAGAACGCACAGUUUAUACCGUAGCUUGCUACACCAUAGACUGUGAGUUGCGAACGGGUGAGUAACGCGUAGGUAACCUGCCUGGUAGCGGGGGAUAACUAUUGGAAACGAUAGCUAAUACCGCAUAAUAUUGAUUAUUGCAUGAUAAUUGAUUGAAAGAUGCUAUUGCAUCACUACCAGAUGGACCUGCGUUGUAUUAGCUAGUAGGUGAGGUAACGGCUCACCUAGGCGACGAUACAUAGCCGACCUGAGAGGGUGAUCGGCCACACUGGGACUGAGACACGGCCCAGACUCCUACGGGAGGCAGCAGUAGGGAAUCUUCGGCAAUGGACGAAAGUCUGACCGAGCAACGCCGCGUGAGUGAAGAAGGUUUUCGGAUCGUAAAGCUCUGUUGUAAGAGAAGAACAGGUGUGAGAGUGGAAAGUUCACACUGUGACGGUAUCUUACCAGAAAGGGACGGCUAACUACGUG
RNAcentral lists this ribosomal RNA (504 nucleotides) under uncultured bacterium. RNAcentral describes it as "partial 16S ribosomal RNA". It matches the Rfam family "Bacterial small subunit ribosomal RNA", at positions 29 to 507 of the family's 1533-position model. The record is from RNAcentral.